CGUCGUGAGACAGUUCGGUCCCUAUCUGCCGUGGGCGCUGGAGAACUGAGGGGGGCUGCUCCUAGUACGAGAGGACCGGAGUGGACGCAUCACUGGUGUUCGGGUUGUCAUGCCAAUGGCACUGCCCGGUAGCUAAAUGCGGAAGAGAUAAGUGCUGAAAGCAUCUAAGCACGAAACUUGCCCCGAGAUGAGUUCUCCCUGAGACUUAGAGUCUCCUGAAGGAACGUUGAAGACGACGACGUUGAUAGGCCGGGUGUGUAAGCGCAGCGAUGCGUUGAGCUAACCGGUACUAAUGAACCGUGAGGCUUAACCUUACAACGCCGAAG
RNAcentral lists this ribosomal RNA (326 nucleotides) under Salmonella enterica. RNAcentral's name for it is "partial 23S ribosomal RNA". It matches the Rfam family "Bacterial large subunit ribosomal RNA", at positions 2617 to 2925 of the family's 2925-position model. The record is from RNAcentral. Lineage: Bacteria; Pseudomonadati; Pseudomonadota; Gammaproteobacteria; Enterobacterales; Enterobacteriaceae.